This 940-nucleotide long non-coding RNA is filed under the name Vigna radiata. RNAcentral's name for it is "long non-coding RNA (VRAD_LNC018589)". Lineage: Eukaryota; Viridiplantae; Streptophyta; Magnoliopsida; Fabales; Fabaceae. The record is from RNAcentral.
AGAAACAAGAUUUUAAUCUUUGCAAAACAUUGAAACUAUGACUUAAAAACUAUAAACAAGAUGUUGAAACUUUGUACAAGGAUCAAGGUUUUGAAACCCCUAUAUAUAAGAGAAACAUUAUUGAUGGGAAUUUUGAAUCUGAAAUGAAAAGCUUUGUUGUAUAUUGAUUUUUUCUUUUCUUUUUUUUUAUUUUUUUUAAUUAUUUUUUUUUUGAGUCAAAUAUCGUAAUUACAAUCAUCAACUUAUUUUUAAAAAGAGUAGUGUCAUACAUUUUGAGGUCUACACUUUGAGAUUAUACAUUUUGAUUCUUUUUCGAAACAUUAAUGCACACAUGCUUGAAUUUAUUGGCAAAAGGAUGGUUUUGAGAGUUGUUUUAAAAUGAGGAGAUGUAAUAUGUGAGUGUUAAGACAAAACAUGAUAUACCAAAAAUUUUGCCCCAGUUUGAUGUUUGGGAAAAUGAGCAUGGGAUUUGAGCAAGGUGAAAAAUCCCAGUGAAAAAUUCAUAAGGUUGUCCCUACUUUGAGGGCAAAUCAAUAUCAUGUGAGGCCCAACAUAGGUGCCCCCCCUGUUUUUCGGUGUAUGAGUUCUGUCAAGAAAGGUAGUGUAAAUGAAGAGGAUCAGUUUAACAAGGUUGCCCCAAUUGUUUUUUUUUUGUUGUUUUUUUUUUCGCACGCUUCUGGUUAGAUGGCAGAGUGACCCCCUAUUCUUGAGACAUUACCCUUUUUUUUUACGACACUUUGAAAGUCGCCAUAUCGCAAAGUUAAGCUUUAUGAAAAUUUGAGCAAACAUUAUUCGAUCUGCGUGGACUUUAUUAGGCUUGUAACGUGGCUAGGGGAUAAAAGGUUUUGAAAGAUAAGACAUAAAGGCCCAAAUGAAUAUUUGUUGGUUAUAUUUUUUUUUGAAACAAGGGUUAUCAUCUAAGUAUUGCAUCAACUUUUCG